UACGUAGGGUGCGAGCGUUGUCCGGAUUUAUUGGGCGUAAAGAGCUCGUAGGCGGCUCGUCGCGUCAGCUGUGAAAACCCGCAGCUUAACUGUGGGCUUGCAGCUGAUACGGGCGGGCUAGAGUUCGGUAGGGGAGACUGGAAUUCCUGGUGUAGCGGUGAAAUGCGCAGAUAUCAGGAGGAACACCGGUGGCGAAGGCGGGUCUCUGGGCCGAUACUGACGCUGAGGAGCGAAAGCGUGGGGAGCGAACAGG
Molecule: ribosomal RNA, 253 nt
Filed under: uncultured bacterium
Lineage: Bacteria
Description: partial 16S ribosomal RNA
Rfam family: Bacterial small subunit ribosomal RNA
Source: RNAcentral